Non-coding RNA from Arachis ipaensis, 327 nucleotides. Lineage: Eukaryota; Viridiplantae; Streptophyta; Magnoliopsida; Fabales; Fabaceae. The record is from RefSeq and is a predicted model, not a curated record.
UUGGAGGCUGCCGCUGCUCUUCCGGAAAUUUAACUCUGCUUGAGUCGUCUCUGCUGUAAUCCUCACUGCUCGCUGCAAUCAUGUCUUAGUGUUUUCCCUAGCUUGUGGUUAGUACGGGCAACCGCAGAAGCUUUCAGAGUUGCUGAUGCUUCUGCCAAGGUUUUCUUUCUUCUGAUGGCAAACAAUGAGGAGAUUCUUCCAUUUUGCACACAGAUUCUCCAGUUACAGGCUCAGUGAUGGUACAUACGUGUUCAAAUUAGAGGGUUUUAUACUUAAACUAUGGCAAUUGGCUCAAGAAGUGGGCGAAGAUGAACGAGCUCUGCAUCU